RNAcentral lists this ribosomal RNA (1433 nucleotides) under metagenome. Its description in RNAcentral is "bacterial SSU rRNA". It matches the Rfam family "Archaeal small subunit ribosomal RNA". The record is from RNAcentral.
UCUGGUUGAUCCUGCCAGAGGCUAUUGCUAUCCGGUUUCUACUAAGCCAUGCGAGUCCAGAGUGGUUAAGCACUCGGCGAACUGCUCCGUAAUAUGUAGCCAACCUACCCUUAGCUGGGGAAUAAUCUCGGGAAACUGAGGCUAAUGCCCUAUAGGUGUUGGAAACUGGAAUGUUCUAACACCCAAAGCCACGGCGACUAAGGAUGGGACUGCAGCUGAUUAGGCUGUUGUUGGUGUAAAGAACCAACAAACCGAUAAUCAGUACGGGCUAUGGAAGUAGGAGCCCGGAGAUGGAUUCUGAGACAUAAAUCCAGGUACUACGGUAUGCAGCAGGCGAGAAACCUUUUCAAUCUGCUAGCGCAGGAAAAGGGAAACUGGAGUGUUCUUGCUUUGCAAGAACUUUUGCUCUCUGCAAACAGGAGAGUGAAUAAGGGGUGGGUAAGAAGGUGCCAGCCACCGCGGUAAUACCCGCACCCCAAGUGAUAGCCACGAUUAUUGGGUCUAAAGCGUCCGUAGCCGGUCUAAAAAGUCCCUGGUGAAAUUUUACAGCAAACUGUAAAGCCUGCUAGGGAUACUGCUAGACUUGAGACCGGGAGAGAGUAGGGGUACUUUUCGGGUAGGGGUGAAAUCCUGUAAUCCGAAGGGGACCACCUGUGGCGAAGGCGCCUACUUGGAACGGGUCUGACGGUGAGGGACGAAAGCUAGGGGAGCGAUCGGGAUUAGAUACCCCGGUAGUCCUAGCCGUAAACAUUGCCCUCUUGGUGUUGCAGGCUUCUCGGGAGCUUGCAGUGCCGGAGCGUAGGUGUUAAGAGGGCCACCUGGGAAGUACAGUCGCAAGGCCGAAACUUAAGGGAAUUGGCGGGGGAGCACACAAGGGGUGGGCGUUGCGGUUUAAUUGGAUUCAACGCCGGAAAUCUUACCAGGGGCGACAGCAGGAUGAAGGUCAGUCUGAAGGGCUUACCAAACAAGCUGAGAGGUGGUGCAUGGCCAUCGUCAGCUCGUACCGUGAGGCGUGCCGUUAAGUCGGUUAACGAGCGAGACCCACAUCCCAUGUUGCUACUUGUUUCUUCGGAGGCAAGGCACUCAUGGGAGACUGCCAGCGAUAAGUUGGAUGAAGGAGUGGGCGACGGUAGGUCCGUAUGCCCCAAAUCUCCUGGGCUACACGCGACGCACAAUGCAUGUCACAAUGGGAUGCAAUCGCGAAAGCGAGAGCUAAUCCCCUAAAAGCAUGCUCAGUUCAGAUUGUGGGCUGUAACUCGCCCACAUGAAGCUGGAAUCCCUAGUAGGCGAAUGUCAUUAUCGUUCGCCGAAUACGUCCCUGCUCCUUGCACACACCGCCCGUCAAGCCAAUCGAGUGAAACUCAAUCGAGACCUGUUCUUCAUGGGCAGUUCAAGUUUGAGUUUUGCGAGAGGGGCUAAGUCGCCACAAGGUA